Non-coding RNA from Ameiurus melas (black bullhead), 74 nucleotides. The record is from the annotation of a GenBank genome assembly. NCBI's taxonomy places the organism in Eukaryota, Metazoa, Chordata, Actinopteri, Siluriformes, Ictaluridae.
GGCAGUGGUAGUUGUGUGGUUAAUACAUUAGACUACUAUUCAAAAGCUUGGGAGUUCAAAUCCCAGUGCUGCCA